This 240-nucleotide ribosomal RNA is filed under the name uncultured bacterium. RNAcentral describes it as "partial 16S ribosomal RNA". It matches the Rfam family "Bacterial small subunit ribosomal RNA", at positions 523 to 762 of the family's 1533-position model. The record is from RNAcentral.
AUACGGAAGGUGCAAGCGUUAAUCGGAAUCACUGGGCGUAAAGCGCUCGUAGGUGGCUUUGUAAGUCAGGUGUGAAAGCCCACGGCUCAACUGCGGAAUUGCCCUUGAUACUGCUGGACUUGAGUUCGGGAGAGGGUGGCGGAAUUCCAGGUGUAGGAGUGAAAUCCGUAGAGAUCUGGAGGAACACCAGUGGCGAAGGCGACUACCUGGACCGAUACUGACACUGAGGAGCGAAAGCGU